Molecule: ribosomal RNA, 380 nt
Filed under: uncultured bacterium
Lineage: Bacteria
Description: bacterial SSU rRNA
Rfam family: Bacterial small subunit ribosomal RNA
Source: RNAcentral
GUAGUCCACGCCGUAAACGAUGGGUGCUAGAUAUCGGGACUUAUGUUUCGGUGUCGUAGCUAACGCGUUAAGCACCCCGCCUGGGGAGUACGGUCGCAAGAUUAAAACUCAAAGGAAUUGACGGGGACCCGCACAAGUGGUGGAGCAUGUGGUUUAAUUCGAUGCUACGCGAAAAACCUUACCACCUUUUGACAUCCCUCCUACCGGAGUCCGUUAUAGGGCUCCUUCGGUUCGGCCGGGGAGGAGACAGGUGUUGCAUGGCUGUCGUCAGCUCGUGUCGUGAGAUGUUGGGUUAAGUCCCGCAACGAGCGCAACCCUCGUCCUUAGUUACCAGCACGUUAUGGUGGGCACUCUAAGGAAACUGCCCGUGAUAAGCGGGA